This is a long non-coding RNA of Grus americana (Whooping crane), 3618 nucleotides long. RefSeq lists it as uncharacterized. The transcript is spliced from 2 exons. The record is from RefSeq and is a predicted model, not a curated record. NCBI's taxonomy places the organism in Eukaryota, Metazoa, Chordata, Aves, Gruiformes, Gruidae.
GCAGCCGUUAGUGGCGCGAAGUGUUUUCAGGCCCCGCUUCGGGCGGGAGGGAACGGGACGUGCGUUUUCGGCGGAGGGGAUGUUGAGGUGUGGCCGCCGCUGCUUUAGCGGCUGGUGGGGGGCCGUCCGGCUCCUUCUGGGCUCCGUGCUGUGUGGGUGAAAAGAGACGGGUAUGUUUUUUCCUUGGUGGGAGGUUUUGUGUCAGGUGCGGCCCUGGAGUUCGGGCUCGGCGGGCCCGGAGCCGCUGAGUGAGCCGUUGCCGGAAGCUCAGCGGAGCUGUGGAGGCUCGAAGGAGUCUGUGAGGGAGAAAUGCACGGAGCGGGCGGGUCGGGAAGGAUAUGUGGGCCUCGUGUUACAUCGAGAGAUGCACUACGUUCCUGUCCACGUCUUUCCUCUUGGAAGAGAUGCUAGCUCCUGCGAUCGGGGACACUUUCGACUCUUUCUCACUGUGUUUGCCUUAGGUUUUGUUUUGACUCGGUCUGUCUGCAGGUUGCUGUCCUUUACCGUGCCAGCUGCCUCUGGCUUGCAACAGUAUCCUGUUCACGUUGUGCUGUUCAGAAGGUGGAUAGAUGAGAGGGCAUACCCUCCUCUUUUUAGAAUGGAAGGCGGGGGGGGGGGGUGGCGAGUGAAGGAGAGAAAUGGACAAAAAAAAUUCCUGUGUCUUCAAGAAAGAAAACAAAACCUAUAGUUCUGAAAUACUUUGAGGGAAAGCCAAAGGCCACAGUGUAACUCACAAAUGUUUAGAAGAAUCUUGUGGAAUCGUAAGGUGCUCUUUUUUAAGAGGUCCAUAAAUUCUUGAAAUUCUCAUAACACUUCAUCUUUGAAGAAUAGUUGAAUUUGACCUUCGUAGACUUAAGUAUAAAGUAUUCCUCCUGAAACCUAAUACUUUAAAUGAUAACUUAUAUCAAUUGUUUAGUGUCCUCUCUAUUUUGCUAGAAAACAUAUGCUAAUCAGUAAAGUAAACUUUCUAAGCAAAGCGUGACAUAGUGAAUGCAAUUGCUUCAUUGCUGAGUAAGUUACAAAGCCAACAUCAGAGGAAGAAGUUUUAGAAUCUAUAGCAAGAUUUAAGUAAAAUAAUCUUCAUUGCCCUAGAGGAAGAAGGCUGAUACAUUUGGUCUGGUAUAUAAUUUUUAACAAAGAAAAUGCCUGUUUUCUGGUUUCUGUCUCUUCUGAAUGUUUUGUGUAGGAUACUUCCAGAGGCUGCUACAUCAAGUUAGAGUACAGUAGGCAAACAGGUGAUCAGCAGUCCUUCAGCCAGAUAGUGCAAACAAGGAAAAGCAAAGACAGUAAUUGGAACUUCUCAGGUCCACAGUUUAAGUAGGAUGGCAAGGCACUAUUUUAUUUCAGGGACUUCUGAGCUGUUAUCUUGUGUGUUAUAGCAAUUUAUUAUCAACUUUAUUGUAGUCUUCUACUAGUGAUGUAUAUUCUGUAAACAGUAAGCAUAUAAUGCAUCUCUGCAACAGUAUUUUUAAUUAGCCAGAAAGAAGAAAGAAUCUUGUGGGGGGAAAAAAUCUUUAAGGACAGAGUUUAAAAAAAAAAAAGCACUGUGUUACCUUUUAAUAAUGUUACCUUUUAAUACAGUGUAAUGGAAUGUCACUAUGGAAAGGCAAAAAUACUUCAUCAUUGUAAUUUCUUAGGUAAUUAAGAUGCUGUGAUUCCUGUAUGUAGUUUUGUAAUGCCUUAUAAUGUGUCAGCAUGAAUAACCAGUGAUGGUCUUCUCUAGUAGUUAUGCAGUUUUAACACAUCUAGAGGAAAAAAAAAUCUAUUAGUGGUCUUAGACUUAAAGCCAAUUUUAAAUUAUAACUUACUAAACCAAUAAUAUUGCUAUUUGGUCAACAAAGUAUAUUUAUUACUGUUAGCAGAACUAUCCUCUAAGGAACUGAAGUUUUAAAAUUUGUAUUUUGUAAGAAAAUACUUUUGGACCCUUUUAAAAUAACUUUUUCUUCAAAGUGAAGGUCAUUGAAGCUUUGUUUAAUUGUUAAUACUAAAUUUUCUGUUUCUUUUGAAUUUGAGUCAUUUGGAUUUCAGUAAUAUAUUUUUUUGUUUGGAAAUUUGUAAAAUGGCAUUAUUUUAGAUAAUAAUAAUAUUUUUAGUUUAAACUUUGAACAGCUCUGAUUACUGUCUGAACCUGGAGAAAUGGUUGCUAAAUUCUGUUCUGUUGAAUUAUUUUUAGGUUUGUUUCAUAGAUGCGUGCAGUGAGAGGUGAAAAGUAUGUUAUUUUUCAGCAUGACUCUCCUUAUAUCUCAAGUUGCUCAAUUGAGUUGAUUUACAUCUACAUUAAAAGUUAUAAUACAAACAAGCAUCCUGCUCUAUUUGCAUCUCUCUGUAGAAGAAGAAUCCACUUCUUCCUCUUAGUUUAUACCCAUAUUUAAUCAGUAACAUAUUUUACUUACAGUUUUUGUUCAGUUUCUUGGUCUUAUUUCUCUUUCUCUACAAGAGUAGUCAUUGUGGACCUGGUAAGUUCUUUCAGUGUACUUAAGAAGACUGAAAUAUGAUUUGAAUACUACAUAACUUAUUACAGUUCUCAAAUCGCUCUAUAAGAAACUCUUGCAGCCUUCUAAUAAUUAUUUUGCAGCUUUUUACUGUAUUGUUUCUUGUUUUCUUCUGUUGUGUUUUAAAAUAUGGACCCCUAAGUUGUGUUAGUGUCGGCUAGGUCACUGCUUUAUAGAUGUGCAAUUCCUCUGCAGUCUAACAUUGUUACUGUUUCUACAACCAAAGAUUAUACAUGCUCUUUUUGCUUUACGUUUACAUGGAAUUUUAGUAGCAGUUUGAUUUUGAUUUUUUUUGUAACUUGUAGUUAAUUUUUUAUGGUGACUGCUUUUUCAGGAUACCUUUUGUAGAUGUAAUGUAUGUUUCUUUCUUCUUUGUUAUUAAAGAGUAUCUUGUAUGAGUGUAUGUGGCUUGAAGAAUAUGCAUUGCUUUAGUUCUGUCAGAAUUUACCAUUCUUUCAUAAGUUUUGUUUGUGUAGAUUUUUCUUUGAUUGAAAAAAGUAAAAGGUGUUGGUCUGUGCAGUAAUAAGCCUUUUCAUCUGUAGGUCACAAGGGCUCUCUAGGUUCAGGUCAAGUUCUCAUUAUCACUCAACCUUAUUUAGACUCAGUUUUCUGGUAGUAGCACUAACUGCACUUUUAAAUUAUGGUGCAUUCCCAAAGCUUGUGCUUUUCUUCACUGUCACUUGAGUACAGUGUCAGAUAUGAUAGCAGCAUGGAUUAAAUAGAGUAUCUCCACAACUAGAACAAAUGCCAAAUUCUUUUCUAACUAGAUGUUUCAAAAUAGACCUUCUCCUUAGUCAAGUAAUGCAGAUUUAAGAAUCAGCUAAUUGACUUCCUUGCUUAAGCCAAUUUAUUUUUAGUGUCCUUGAAAUUUCACUGAGUAUUGCUGGUUGAUUUGCUUAAUUAUUCCCAUGUACUCCUGCACACUACUCUGAGUUUUCAUCCGUGGAUGACAGCCAGAUGGUUGUCAGUACUAGAAGCAAAGCAUGUUUUGGAAACUUAAACCAUGAUUUACAGCUGUUGUAAUGUUGGUCCUCAUAAUUUGUUUAUUAAUAGGUUUUGACAUCUACUUGAUACUGUAUCAUUUAACAUGGAUGACAGAGCAUGUACAUUAAAUAUUUUAAACAAA